GGGUCCGUAGCUCAGCUUGGAUAGAGCAACUCCGUCCUAAGGAGAAGGUCGAGGGUUCAAAUCCCUCCGGGCCCU
Molecule: transfer RNA, 75 nt
Filed under: Candidatus Aenigmatarchaeota archaeon
Lineage: Archaea; Nanobdellati; Candidatus Aenigmatarchaeota
Description: tRNA-Arg
Rfam family: tRNA
About the family: Transfer RNA (tRNA) molecules are approximately 80 nucleotides in length.
Source: RNAcentral